GAGUCGUAUAAUCACCUUUUUGUUGCUAAUGCUUCAAGCCAAACUGAAAGAGAUGCACUAAUAUAGAAAGUUGUUACACCGCAAAGGAUUCACGUACUUCUAUGGUUGCUUGUCCGAGAUAGAAUUCUAACUAAUGAGGAACAAACAAGACGGGGUAUGGCUCAUAUCCCUUUUUGUGAACUAUGUGAAACAAACAAGAUGGGGUAUGGCUCAUAUCCCUUUUUGUGACCUAUGUGAAAGUGUGGAGUCUACAAUCCAUGCUGUAAGGGAUUGUGGGUUUGCAAAAAUAGUUUGGAAAUACAUUGUACAAAGAAGAGGUUGAGGGGUUUUCUUCAGUAUAACAUUACAGAGAUGGGUUUUAACACCCCUCGCUCGUAUCCGACGCUAAGAUAGGGUUCAUG
Molecule: long non-coding RNA, 401 nt
Filed under: Gossypium barbadense (sea-island cotton)
Lineage: Eukaryota; Viridiplantae; Streptophyta; Magnoliopsida; Malvales; Malvaceae
Description: long non-coding RNA (GBAR_LNC001267)
Source: RNAcentral